Molecule: microRNA precursor, 84 nt
Filed under: Bombyx mori (domestic silkworm)
Lineage: Eukaryota; Metazoa; Arthropoda; Insecta; Lepidoptera; Bombycidae
Description: mir-2807 microRNA precursor family
Rfam family: mir-2807 microRNA precursor family
Source: Rfam by way of RNAcentral
UUAGUGAAAGUUUUUACGGAGUUGGAAUGUUUGUCUACGUUUGCCGACAGGGGCGCUGUUGCAACUGCAUACAAAUUUGAGUUA